Molecule: non-coding RNA, 135 nt
Organism: Triticum urartu
Lineage: Eukaryota; Viridiplantae; Streptophyta; Magnoliopsida; Poales; Poaceae
Source: Rfam
GAUGUAUUCCCUCUGUUUCAAAUUACUUGUCUUGGAUUUGUCUAGAUACGGAGGUAUCUAGCACUAAAAUGAGUCUAGAUACAUCUGUAUCUAGACAAAUCCAAGACAAAUAAUUCGGAACGGAGGGAGUAUAUU